UACAGAGGGUGCGAGCGUUAAUCGGAAUGACUGGGCGUAAAGGGCGCGUAGGUGGUUAUUCAAGUUGGAUGUAAAAUUCCUGGGCUUAACCUGGGGAGGUCAUCCAAUACUGGGUAACUAGAGUACGGUAGAGGGAAGUGGAAUUUCCGGUGUAGCGGUGAAAUGCGUAGAUAUCGGAAGGAACACCGGUGGCGAAGGCGACUUCCUGGACUGAUACUGACACUGAGGCGCGAAAGCGUGGGGAGCAAACAGG
RNAcentral lists this ribosomal RNA (253 nucleotides) under uncultured Gammaproteobacteria bacterium. RNAcentral's name for it is "partial 16S ribosomal RNA". It matches the Rfam family "Bacterial small subunit ribosomal RNA", at positions 524 to 776 of the family's 1533-position model. The record is from RNAcentral. Lineage: Bacteria; Pseudomonadati; Pseudomonadota; Gammaproteobacteria.